Molecule: non-coding RNA, 257 nt
Organism: Vicugna pacos (alpaca)
Lineage: Eukaryota; Metazoa; Chordata; Mammalia; Artiodactyla; Camelidae
Source: RefSeq, a predicted model, not a curated record
AAGAUAUCUCAUGCUGUUGAAUUGGAAAAGUCAACGUUGUUAAAAUGGCCAUACUGCCCAAGGCAAUCUACAGAUUUAAUGCAACCCCUACCAAACUCCCCAUGAUGUUUUUCACAGAACUAGAACAAACAAUCCUAAAUUUUAUGUGGAAUCCCAAAAGACCCAGAAUUCUGUAAGCAAUAUUGAAGAAAAAGAACAAAGUUGGAGGAACAACCCUCCCAGACUUCAGACAACACUACAGAACUACAGUAAUCAAA